UCAGAAAUAAUUACGGAUUUAAAAAUUACUCUGUUUCAGUCAGGAAGUGGAUUUUCAUCCGAUUUCCUACUUCUGUUGGUCAAAUGCACCCAAGUUAGCUGCCCCUCACUGCAAAGGCUUCCACCUCAAUAUGCAGUAGCAGCCACUACUCACAGCUGAUCUGCAGGCCUCAGCACGUGAUGGGUGCUUUCCAACCCAGCCUAACAAUAGCAUGAGGGAAAGACAAGUAGUAAGACAUGCCACAUUACCAAGAACAGGACGACAGGUUGCUUGCUUGAGCAAGUAGACUUUGCAAUCCUUUAGAAAAUUCAAGACCAUGUCU
This is a long non-coding RNA of Pezoporus occidentalis (night parrot), 322 nucleotides long. RefSeq lists it as uncharacterized. The transcript is spliced from 3 exons. The record is from RefSeq and is a predicted model, not a curated record. Lineage: Eukaryota; Metazoa; Chordata; Aves; Psittaciformes; Psittacidae.